Molecule: ribosomal RNA, 497 nt
Filed under: uncultured bacterium
Lineage: Bacteria
Description: partial 16S ribosomal RNA
Rfam family: Bacterial small subunit ribosomal RNA
Source: RNAcentral
GACGAACGCUGGCGGCGUGCCUAAUACAUGCCAGUUGAGCGCUGAAGGUUGGUACUUGUACCAACUGGAUGAGCAGCGAACGGGUGAGUAACGCGUGGGGAAUCUGCCUUUGAGCGGGGGACAACAUUUGGAAGCGAAUGCUAAUACCGCAUAAAAACUUUAAACACAAGUUUUAAGUUUGAAAGAUGCAAUUGCAUCACUCAAAGAUGAUCCCGCGUUGUAUUAGCUAGUUGGUGAGGUAAAGGCUCACCAAGGCGAUGAUACAUAGCCGACCUGAGAGGGUGAUCGGCCACAUUGGGACUGAGACACGGCCCAAACUCCUACGGGAGGCAGCAGUAGGGAAUCUUCGGCAAUGGACGAAAGUCUGACCGAGCAACGCCGCGUGAGUGAAGAAGGUUUUCGGAUCGUAAAACUCUGUUGGUAGAGAAGAACGUUGGUGAGAGUGGAAAGCUCAUCAAGUGACGGUAACUACCCAGAAAGGGACGGCUAACUACGUG